This 62-nucleotide small nuclear RNA is filed under the name Sorex araneus (European shrew). Its description in RNAcentral is "U7 small nuclear RNA (ENSSARG00000015985.1)". It matches the Rfam family "U7 small nuclear RNA". Rfam says of the family: Animal histone pre-mRNAs are spliced by a different mechanism than nuclear pre-mRNAs and self-splicing introns. The record is from RNAcentral. Lineage: Eukaryota; Metazoa; Chordata; Mammalia; Eulipotyphla; Soricidae.
AAGUGUUGCGGCUCUUUUAGAAUUUGUCUAGCAGGCUUUCUCAUUGCUACUGGAAAUCCUCC